RNAcentral lists this ribosomal RNA (497 nucleotides) under uncultured Lachnospiraceae bacterium. RNAcentral's name for it is "partial 16S ribosomal RNA". Lineage: Bacteria; Bacillati; Bacillota; Clostridia; Lachnospirales; Lachnospiraceae. The record is from RNAcentral.
CACGUAUUUAGCCGGGGCUUCUUAGUCAGGUACCGUCAUUUUCUUCCCUGCUGAUAGGGCUUUACAUACCGAAGUACUCCAUCGCCCACGCGGCGUCGCUGCAUCAGGGUUCCCCCAUUGUGCAAUAUCCCCCACUGCUGCCUCCCGUAGGAGUCUGGGCCGUGUCUCAGUCCCAAUGUGGCCGUCCACCCUCUCAGGCCGGCUACUGAUCGUCGCCUUGGUGGGCCGUUACCCCGCCAACAAGCUAAUCAGACGCGAGCCCAUCCUGCACCAUAUUACUUUCCACACCGCCCCAUGCGGGGCUGUGCGCCUAUGCGGUAUUAGCAGCCGUUUCCAGCUGUUGUCCCCCAGUGCAGGGCAGGUUGCUCACGCGUUACUCACCCGUCCGCCACUAGGCAGCGCCAAUUUCCGCUCCGAAAAGUUUCCAUCGGCGCGCCCCGUUCGACUUGCAUGUGUUAGGCACGCCGCCAGCGUUCAUCCUGAGCCAGGAUCAAACU